Long non-coding RNA from Ictalurus punctatus (channel catfish), 1690 nucleotides. RefSeq lists it as uncharacterized. The transcript is spliced from 3 exons. The record is from RefSeq and is a predicted model, not a curated record. NCBI's taxonomy places the organism in Eukaryota, Metazoa, Chordata, Actinopteri, Siluriformes, Ictaluridae.
AGCCUGGGUGCCACAAAGACCGAGUUUUCCAUCUGAACAAAAUGAGAUUUGAAAAGAACUUCACAAAUGACAAAACAAGUGUUCAGAUUUAGAGAAAGUUAGCCAGAGGCAAUGGGUCAAGCCCAGACGAAGCUUCUGAGGUACUGUACAUGAUAUGGUCCUUCAAACUGCAAAUAUGUUUCUGCAAAUGUUUUAUGAUAUAUUUACAUCAAAUAAGUAAGUAUAUGAAAAUUGCAAGGAUCAUUAAAGUUAAUAAGAAUUAAUACAUACACACUAAAGAACAUAUUUACUUCACUGUUGACAUGGUUUAGUGUUGUAUUAACACUAAUUAAGCACAAAAUACUGGACAACUCAGAGUGAAUACUGAGGAGUAUUUUCAAAUUCUUUGUUCCUGAAGCAGUUUACAUUAUGAUCAAAAUAACAGUCGAUAAUAGACAUAAAUAGCAUUACUUAGGGGCUGUGUCUUCUUGUAAUCUAUGUACAGUAUUUGCUUGUAUUUCCUCAUUUGUAAGUCGCUCAAACAUCUGCUAAAUUAAUAAAUGUAAUAUAAGUGUAAAAUGUUCAGUAUAUAUCAAGGUUGAUGCAUUAUACUUUGUCUUAUUAUUAAUAACAAAACUUACCUGCAUCAGAAUGCUUAGCUAAGUACUUAAUAACUAGCAUAUUAGCACAUAGCAGAAUUGUAAAAAGAUGGGGUUAGAUUACAUACAUUGUGGAAACAUCUUUCAGAAAUGGCUUUAAAAGCACCCUUCUUGACUUAAUACUGAAGUAUUUAUGACAUGAGUUCCUAUUAUAUCAAAUAAGUAGAUGUUUACUAUGCUUAAAUUUCUGUAAUAUUUAUUAAAAAAAAAUUAUUUUACCUUUAUUUUAUCAGGAAGUCCCACUGAGAUCAAAUGAUCUCUUUUACAAGAGAGACCUGGCCAAGGUAGCAGCCAUGCAAACUCACAAUAAAAACACAACAUGUACAACAUGUCUUUAAACAACGAAACAUUUGGCCAAAAACAAUUACACGUCUCCUUCACCACAUUAUUUUUGAUUGCCUUAAAUUCAUCAAUAGAUAUAAGAGUAUUCAGAUUUGAAUAUUUUUGCAAUUUCUUCCAUGUCCAAGGUGCAUAAUAGGAAAAAAGGAGUUUUCCCCAGAUCUGUCAGAACCCGGGGUACAUUAAAAAGCAACAUCUGGAGGAGUGCAAGUGAUAACUACCCGAACUAAGGAAAAGAAGGUUAAAAAGGUUCACGGGGAACCUGGAGCCUAUCCCAGGGAGCACCGGGCACGAGGCGGGGUACACCCUGUGUGCCAGUUCAUCGCAGGGCACAAUCACAUACACACACUGACACUCAUACACUACGGACAAUUUAAACAUGCCAAUCAGCCUACCACGCAUGUCUUUUGACUGGGGGAGGAAGCCGGAGUACCCGGAGGAAACCCCCGCACACAUAUGGCCCUGGCGGGACUCGAACCUGCCAGGAGGUGUGAGGUGAACGUAUAAGAAUUCACCAUGAACUUUUCCACAUUUUAUAGUCUUUUAUCCAAUCAUGUGAAACUGUAACUGCGCAUAGUUGAAGUCCAUCCAAUUAAUUACAGAAUGUGAUUUCUGAUGACAACUGGUUGCACCUGAACUAAUUUCACACUAGGGAUAUGUACUUAAUCAUUAUUUGUAAAUAAGUUUGCAAAUGAGUUUGACUUUUAAUCCCA